This 253-nucleotide ribosomal RNA is filed under the name uncultured bacterium. RNAcentral describes it as "partial 16S ribosomal RNA". It matches the Rfam family "Bacterial small subunit ribosomal RNA", at positions 524 to 776 of the family's 1533-position model. The record is from RNAcentral.
UACGAAGGGGGCUAGCGUUGUUCGGAAUUACUGGGCGUAAAGCGCACGUAGGCGGAUUGUUAAGUUAGGGGUGAAAUCCCAGGGCUCAACCCUGGAACUGCCUUUAAUACUGGCAAUCUCGAGUCCGAGAGAGGUGAGUGGAAUUCCGAGUGUAGAGGUGAAAUUCGUAGAUAUUCGGAGGGACACCAGUGGCGAAGGCGGCUCACUGGCUCGGUACUGACGCUGAGGUGCGAAAGCGUGGGGAUCAAACAGG